AGAGUUUGAUCAUGGCUCAGGACGAACGCUGGCGGCGUGCUUAACACAUGCAAGUCGAACGGAAAGGCCCCUUCGGGGGUACUCGAGUGGCGAACGGGUGAGUAACACGUGGGUGAUCUGCCCUGCACUUUGGGAUAAGCCUGGGAAACUGGGUCUAAUACCGAAUAGGACCGCAUGCUUCAUGGUGUGUGGUGGAAAGCUUUUGCGGUGUGGGAUGGGCCCGCGGCCUAUCAGCAUGUUGGUGGGGUAAUGGCCUACCAAGGCGACGACGGGUAGCCGGCCUGAGAGGGUGUCCGGCCACACUGGGACUGAGAUACGGCCCAGACUCCUACGGGAGGCAGCAGUGGGGAAUAUUGCACAAUGGGCGCAAGCCUGAUGCAGCGACGCCGCGUGGGGGAUGACGGCCUUCGGGUUGUAAACCUCUUUCAGUAUCGGCGAAGCUCCAGGAUUUUUCUUGGGGUGACGGUAGGUACAGAAGAAGCACCGGCCAACUACGUGCCAGCAGCCGCGGUAAUACGUAGGGUGCGAGCGUUGUCCGGAAUUACUGGGCGUAAAGAGCUCGUAGGUGGUUUGUCACGUUGUCUGUGAAAACUCACAGCUUAACUGUGGGCGUGCGGGCGAUACGGGCAGACUGGAGUACUGUAGGGGAGACUGGAAUUCCUGGUGUAGCGGUGGAAUGCGCAGAUAUCAGGAGGAACACCGGUGGCGAAGGCGGGUCUCCGGGCAGUAACUGACGCUGAGGAGCGAAAGCGUGGGGAGCGAACGGGAUUAGAUACCCUGGUAGUCCAA
This 789-nucleotide ribosomal RNA is filed under the name uncultured bacterium. RNAcentral describes it as "bacterial SSU rRNA". It matches the Rfam family "Bacterial small subunit ribosomal RNA", at positions 8 to 798 of the family's 1533-position model. The record is from RNAcentral.